Molecule: ribosomal RNA, 433 nt
Filed under: uncultured bacterium
Lineage: Bacteria
Description: partial 16S ribosomal RNA
Rfam family: Bacterial small subunit ribosomal RNA
Source: RNAcentral
AACGAACGCUGGCGGCAUGCCUAACACAUGCAAGUCGAACGAGACCUUCGGGUCUAGUGGCGCACGGGUGCGUAACGCGUGGGAACCUGCCCUUAGGUUCGGAAUAACUCCCCGAAAGGGGUGCUAAUACCGGAUAAUGUCUUCGGACCAAAGAUUUAUCGCCUUUGGAUGGGCCCGCGUUGGAUUAGCUAGUUGGUAGGGUAAAAGCCUACCAAGGCGACGAUCCAUAGCUGGUCUGAGGGGAUGAUCAGCCACACUGGGACUGAGACACGGCCCAGACUCCUACGGGAGGCAGCAGUGGGGAAUAUUGGACAAUGGGCGAAAGCCUGAUCCAGCAAUGCCGCGUGAGUGAUGAAGGCCUUAGGGUUGUAAAGCUCUUUUACCCGGGAUGACAAUGACAGUACCGGGAGAAUAAGCUCCGGCUAACUCCGUG